GAUGAACGCUGGCGGCGUGCCUAAUACAUGCAAGUCGAGCGAACGGACGGGAAGCUGGCUUCUCUGAUGUUAGCGGCGGACGGGUGAUUAACACGUGGAUAACCUACCUAUAAGACGGGGAUAACUUCGGGAAACCGUACCUAAUACCGGAUAAUAUUUUGAACCGCAUGGUUCAAAAGUGAAAGACGGUCUUGCUGUCACUUAUAGAUGGAUCCGCGCUGCAUUAGCUAGUUGGUAAGGUAACGGCUUACCAAGGCAACGAUGCAUAGCCGACCUGAGAGGGUGAUCGGCCACACUGGAACUGAGACACGGUCCAGACUCCUACGGGAGGCAGCAGUAGGGAAUCUUCCGCAAUGGGCGAAAGCCUGACGGAGCAACGCCGCGUGAGUGAUGAAGGUCUUCGGAUCGUAAAACUCUGUUAUUAGGGAAGAACAUAUGUGUAAGUAACUGUGCACAUCUUGACGGUACCUAAUCAGAAAGCCACGGCUAACUACGUG
This 497-nucleotide ribosomal RNA is filed under the name uncultured bacterium. RNAcentral describes it as "partial 16S ribosomal RNA". It matches the Rfam family "Bacterial small subunit ribosomal RNA", at positions 28 to 507 of the family's 1533-position model. The record is from RNAcentral.